AUGCACUGGAAGGCAUGGGACUCUCUAUCUAAACCAAAAGCGCAGGGAGGAAUGGGGUUCCAGGAUCUUGAGCUGUUCAAUACAGCUCUCCUCGGGAAACACGGUUGGCGUCUGAUGACAAAUCCAGAAUCUCUUUGCGCGCGAGUUCUUAAAGGAAGAUAUUAUCCCACAAGUGAUUUUAUGCAAGCCACAGCUCCUUGCUUCUCCUCUGCAACCUGGCGUGCUAUAAUUGCUGGAAGGGAUGCCCUGCAGAUCGGUCUUCUAAAGCGGGUAGGCGACGGCUCAACGGUCUCUGUUUGGCAUGACAAAUGGAUUCCUGGUACACUAUCAAUGACGUCGGUUUGCAGCAUUGGCAAUGAUCACCUGAAUGUGGUGGCGGAUCUUAUCGACCACAUCAGCUGGUCAUGGAAGGAAGAUGUGGUUCGAGGAAAUUUCAUACCCCCAGAUGCGGAUGCCAUUCUCAACAUUCCGCUGAGGCAAGGAGGGGGUGAUGGUUGGCUUGGGCUUUUGAAAAAUCGGGUUGCUACACUGUGA
Molecule: ribosomal RNA, 534 nt
Filed under: Triticum aestivum (bread wheat)
Lineage: Eukaryota; Viridiplantae; Streptophyta; Magnoliopsida; Poales; Poaceae
Description: partial small subunit ribosomal RNA
Source: RNAcentral